RNAcentral lists this ribosomal RNA (253 nucleotides) under uncultured bacterium. RNAcentral's name for it is "partial 16S ribosomal RNA". It matches the Rfam family "Bacterial small subunit ribosomal RNA", at positions 524 to 776 of the family's 1533-position model. The record is from RNAcentral.
UACAGAGGUGGCAAGCGUUGUUCGGAAUUACUGGGCGUAAAGGGCGCGUAGGCGGCCAUCUAAGUCAGACGUGAAAUCCCCCGGCUUAACCUGGGAACUGCGUCUGAUACUACAAGGCUGGAGUGCGGGAGAGGGAUGUGGAAUUCCAGGUGUAGCGGUGAAAUGCGUAGAUAUCUGGAGGAACACCGGUGGCGAAGGCGGCAUCCUGGACCGACACUGACGCUGAUGCGCGAAAGCUAGGGGAGCAAACGGG